RNAcentral lists this ribosomal RNA (440 nucleotides) under uncultured bacterium. RNAcentral describes it as "partial 16S ribosomal RNA". It matches the Rfam family "Bacterial small subunit ribosomal RNA", at positions 338 to 795 of the family's 1533-position model. The record is from RNAcentral.
CCUACGGGAGGCAGCAGUGGGGGAUAUUGCACAAUGGGGGAAACCCUGAUGCAGCGACGCCGCGUGUGGGAAGACGGUCCUCUGGAUUGUAAACCACUGUCCCCAGGGACGCAGCUGACGGUACCUGGGGAGGAAGCUCCGGCUAACUACGUGCCAGCAGCCGCGGUAAUACGUAGGGAGCGAGCGUUGUCCGGGAUUACUGGGUGUAAAGGGAGCGUAGGCGGGACUGCAAGUUGGGUGUCAAAUCUACCGGCUCAACCGGUAGCCGCACUCAAAACUGCAGUUCUUGAGUGAAGUAGAGGCAGGCGGAAUGCCUAGUGUAGCGGUGAAAUGCGGAGAUAUUAGGAGGAACACCAGUGGCGAAGGCGGCCUGCUGGGCUUUUACUGACGCUGAGGCUCGAAAGUGUGGGGAGCAAACAGGAUUAGAUACCCCAGUAGUC